GAAGAAUAAGAGGAAACUUACAUCGGUCUUUAUUAGUUAGGUAACAUUUUAACGUAUCCCCAUGAGAGGAUUACCCGUGUUAGAAAAAUCCACGCUUCCAUAGGCCUUUGAGCUGGGAGCCUACCAAAUGUCUCAGAUCACAAUGUAACUUCUAUAAAUCUCUGGUGAAUACCUAGUCUUCCUGCACUAAGAAGAACACUAAGAUCACAAUGGGUGGCUGGCCAGUGCUCCACCUCUAAAGCUGGUAAUUGAAGGGGCCAGGAGCCACCUCUCUAAAGGCAGGAUUUGGCACAGGAGUCUGUAGUUGCUGACUUCUAUAAAGUCAUAUGGCAAUAGAUGGACUGAGAUACCACCAGAAUGUUUAGAACUGGACAACAUAUCUGGAGUGCCAAACCAGCAAAUGAUUUUUAUUAAGAAAAGACAACAGCCACAGUGUCUCUAUAUUAAUAAGUCUCAAUGCCAUAGUGAAGGACACAACAGAGGGCUUCUAGCAUAGUGGAAGAGGUUCUCUACCAAUGGUGCGGAGAACCUAUCUUUGUAGAAAGAUAGCCCACCCAACCUUCUAGAACUAAUGGGGUCUUGGGUUUCUGCAUGUCAGUUGCCCUCAUGCUGCUAACCAAUUAACUGCAGACUUAAAAACAACACAUGCUAGUUACAGAAACCACAGCUUGCUAAAGAGUAAGCAGUUAAACCAGUAAGUCUUACAGCUUUUUAAAAAGCAGAAAGGCCCUUCUCUUAACAGCUGAUGUUUGGACUUCAUAAAGUGAAGGGGUAUUAUUUAUACCCCACCCAUCUGGCUGGGUUUCCCCAGCCACUCUGGGCAGCUUACAGUGCAUAUAAAAGCAUAGUAAAACAGCAAACAUUAACAACUUCCCGAUACAGGGCUGCCUUCAGAUGUAUUCUAAAAGUUAUGUAGUUCUUUAUCUCCUUGACAUCUGAUGGGAGGAUGCCACUGCCAAGAUGGCCCUCUGCCUGGUUCCCUGUAACUUCUCAAAGUGUGGGAGCCGCCAGAAGACCCUCAGAGGAGGACUUUGGUGUCCAGACUGAGCAAUGGGGGUGGAGAUGCUCCUGAACCAAGGCUCUUUAUUGGAUUGAUUCAGGGAGAGAUGGCUCCAAAGGCAUGUCAAGUCUCAGGCCCUGAGGAGCUUUAAAGGUAAGUCCCAUGAAUUGGCCCUGGAAGCUAACAGAAUGACGGUGCAGAGGCCACAAGACUAACUGAAUAUGCUAAUGCCUCCCAGAGUCCAUCAGGAGAUGAGCAAGAACAUAUUCCUGCAGCUUCUUGGUGAUCUUAAAUGGAAACACCACAGGCCGCAUUGUAGUAGUCAAGCUAUAAAAGCAUGCAUAAAUGUAGGGGAGUACCUCCAAAAAGCAGAGUCUAUGUAACGGUCACCAUUGGUAAAAGUUUCCUCUGGCUACCACCAAUAUUUCCUUAUCCAGGAGUUGGAUCCAGAACUAUACCUAGAUUACAAAUGUAUUCAAAUCGGGAUAUCUCCACCACAUCCAUCAUGGACACACUAAUCACUUCUGCAGCCUAGGUUUACCCCACCAGCAGUAUCUUGUCUGGAUCCCUUUGGCUUUUUCCCUCUAGUCCACUCCUUCACAACCUCCAGACACUGGUUGCGUCAGCCUGUCAGUCCUGACUAGCUAGUGAUACAGAAUUCCAAGGCUGUCCCUGUGCCUUCAUAGAUGAUGUAGACAUUAAGCGGCAUUAAUGAGAAAAAGUAUUCUGGAACACCCCAUGCCAAAGAGCAUCACAAACAACAACCCUUUGAGGGUGGGAAAACAAAAAAGGAAAAAUGCUGAAAAGCCAGCUCCAAAAAGCUAGCUGUUCUUCCCAUCUGAUCCAAAGUAUCAAAAGCCACUGAGAAGGCUAACAAGAUCAACAGGGUAAUAAAGAGGACUCUUGAGGGUUGCUAAAACUACCACGGAAAAACCCAACAGUAAAGAGUCAAGGAAAUAAGUUUCAUCUAGAAAUGUUUAGCUCAGAAGACAGGAGAUGAGGGAAUGGACUUGAUUGCUUUCAUAAGGGGCAAAAAAAAAUGCCAUAAAGAAGAUGGAGUAAAGUAGUACAAGAAACACACAAAAUAGAUUACUUCUUCAUAGCACACAUACUUGAAAACUACUGAAUUUGCUGCUAGGAAAUGUAAUGACCACUGACUUGCAUGGCUUUAAAACGGGGUGUGCAGAAAUUAAUGGAGGAUAAGUCUCUCCAUGGCUUCUAGCUACAAUGGCUGUGUUACUUCUAGUAGAGGUAGUAUGUCUACUAGAUGCUGUGGAAUACAAGUGGGGAGAGUGCUUUUCUGCUCUCAUGUACUACUUGUGGGCAUCUGUCAGCCAUCCACUUAGCCACUGUGAGAACAGGAUGCUAGGCUAGAUGAGUUUUUGGCCUGAUCCAGCUGGACUCUUACGUUUGUGGGGACCCAUCUAUACCUACAAGUCUUAACAUCUUUGAAAAAUCCCAACAUCACAGUGCAGCUGUAAUCAAUGUACUGGCGAUAACUGCUGAAGUACAUGGGAGAUUGUUUUUGGAAUUUAUAGACUGCUGGAAGUAAUAGAAUGUCAUUCCUGCCCCCCACUUGCUGAUCAUGUAAAGUUUACAUAUUUUCCCUCCUUUCUGAUUAGGUAAAGAUUGUUGCCAUUUUCCAAAAGCGGCAACGGGCAUCAGAAUUGAUAUGGCUGGUGGAAUUCCUGCUGCCUGUGCUUUACACAUGCACCCAUGUGGAAGUCAUCUUUCUGCAAUACAAUUCCACAUGGUGUGUGAAUUUUGCAACCAUGUGGUCAGGGCAGAUUAUGCGGGGCUUUCACCUGCAACCAGCAAACUACCCAAGCUAUCUGACUCACCCUCAUAUUUGCAUAGGUUAAUAAAACUGUAGAGUUGGAAUGUUUCCCAAGGAUCAUCUAGUCCAAUUCCCCUGCGAUGCAGGAAUCUCAGCUUGCAGGUCAAAGCCACAUGACUGCAUCAGAGAACAGUGGAGUGGCUUCCAUGUGGAAUUCAACCAAUGUUAUGGACGCCUCUUAACAUCUAUUAGCACCUGUGAAAGCAGGUGACAACCAAUCUCAUCAUGUUACACUUCAUUUGAUGUCAUGUUACAGUAAAAAAAUACGUCUGAUUCUAGUUCAUCAACAAUGGAGGCUUUGAGCUGCAUAUAUGGGCUACCAGAAAGCAGCUACAGUAGUUUCUAAUUCCACUUCACUAGCACAAUACUUAACUCUUCUCAACAGCAAUAUGUCAAAAUCAAACCUUCUAAGCUUACUUGAUCUCUAGAGGUAGAUGGACACAUUAAAGGCCAGUCUGUCCCAGUACAGUGGUACCGCGGGUUACAGACGCUUCAGGUUACAGACUCCGCUAACCCAGAAAUAGUACCUCGGGUUAAGAACUUUGCUUCAGGAUGAGAACAGAAAUCGUGUGGCGGCGGCACAGCGGCAGUGGGAGGCCCCAUUAGCUAAAGUGCUUCAGGUUAAGAACAGUUUCAGGUUAAAAACGGACCUCUGGAACGAAUUAAGUUCUUAACCCGAGGUACCACUGUACUACAUGGGGAUGGAUCUAAGUCCAUCGUGUCCUGUUCUUUAAAGUGUUUGCACAUUGUUAGCCAUGUUUCUGCUGUAUAAUUCACUCUGAGAGUGAGAGUGGCAAGAAGCCCUGCUAACCACUCCAGGCCGUGGAUGGCUGGAAGACUUCCCUGGGUCUUUAAAAAAAAAAUGGGCACAGAGGAAGUGCUGUAGCACUCAGACCAUCUCAUAAAGGAAUCCACUGUAAAGUGGACUCAUGAUUCUAUCCAAAUCUUGAUUUUCCCAGAUGAGAUCCAGUAACUCCAAUUUGGAAUCUGAAUUCUGUGGAUUCCUCCCUGCUAAGAGCUUUCAACUGCAUGUCUCUAGUUACACACCCACACACCCAACUAAUAAACUCCACGUAGCACUUAGUUGCAAUCUCCUAAUCCACAGGCACCAUUUUAAUGCAAACACCAAAUUUAUCCACUGUUUUUGCAAUAGUAGCUUCCAGCUCAAAGUUUUAUAUACUCGAGAGCUGUUUAGAGCUAAGAGCUACUGCAGUAAUAAUCCUGUCUGUGUACACUGUACACGCUUUGUUUUUUGGAAUCGUAACCAUUGUGGAUUAAACCAAAAGUAGUGGUUUGAAGCCCUACAAAGCCAGUGCAUAUUGCAGAAAGGCAAGUAUUACGUGAAGGAUCUUUUAAAGACAAAUAACAAGGUUGUGUAACAGAAGGUAGAUGUGCUUCCAAGGUAUGGUCUGAGGGAAUAUGAUACAAAACCUUGUCAAACCUUGUCAGACCCAAAGUUGGUUUGGGUCUAGUCAGUACUUUGAUGCAGUGUUUGAAACUCCCAUUGUUCUAGGCACAUUUUGCAACAGGGAAUUUCAUUAGUGCAAAGUUUCUGAGCUCUGGGUGCAGUUCUGCGCCUAAGAUUUCAGAUUAAAACUGCAGAGUGGAAGGAAAGGUGGACCUUUUUCUGCCUCCCUACUUCCAGCUACUCUCUGAAGACUGGAGAAGAGACCCUCUUAAGAAUAUUUGGGGGGUGGGCAGAGGAAGGACUAGACCAUGUGAAAAAUGAAUGUAAUAUUUUAACUGCAGUUCGUUCAUUUUCAGCUUUGUAUUCUUGUUAUAAAAAAAGCUCGCCUAGACAUUCCGUUUUUGCACCCAUAACCUAGGUUUAAGGUGCCAUUUAGCUCUUAGCUUUCAUAUUUCAGUUUCUAACACUGCUUUGAUGGGAGAUCAGACAAGAACCCCAUGUACAUUACACCUUGAACUCUGGGAUGGAAGAAAGGCGGGGGUACAAACAUACGUUAAAAAAAAUUAAUUUAGAAUUAGUCAUGUUACUAACUCUAACAUCAGCACAUCCCAAAUAAGCCAUUAACUCCUACUCCACAGUGGUCUAAUUAGGAAGCCCAUGCCAGCACAAGUGUUCUUGAAAAGUGAAGAAUAGAUCGCUCUAGAUUUCUAUCCUAGGAGAUUUAAUUUACUGCCUUUUUCUAAAAACAAACCAACUCAAGAAUGUGUUAAGCGCACUCUUACUAGUCUGCAAUCUUAAGCAUCUUUACGAUGCAAUAGUUUCCACUGAACUCAGAUGUAUUUGGGUAUGUCUAAGGCUGGUAGCUCCUAACACUACACAACCAUUGCUCUACUAUUGUAAGCUGCAUGUGCAAUUUUGUACGCUUGCAAUUUUCAGAUUUCAGGAGUGCAGCACUCUUUGUCAGUAUACAUUUUCACUAUCUUCCCAUUCUAGUGAGCUUGACAUGGUCUUGUGUGUGGAGACAGCAAAUUAGAAGUGUUUAAUAGCAAAUUAGAAGAUGAGGUGGGAAAGAAACAAUACUAAAAUGCUGCUUAAUGGGAGGGGGGACCCCUGGUUUUUGUUUUUAAAAAUUGUGUUAAAGGGCUUUUUCAUUUUGGUGCUGUGAAAUUAAAUUAUUGUGUAAAAAAAUAAGCAUGCUGAUUAAAUGCUGCCACUGGGAAAGGCAAUGGCAAAUAUAUGUCCAACCAGAUGUGUGGUGAUAGAUUCAGAACCACACUUUUUUAAAAAAAGGUGGAAGAUUAGGUCCAAGGCAAUCUAUGAGUAGCAUUCAACAUAGCACCAAGGUUUACUUUAAGAUUCUUGUCCCACUGAACAAGCAGCCAGUACACUGUUCUCCCCUGAACUUUUUGUAGCUGAAAGAACAUGAAAGAUAGAAGAAGAAAGUAAGAAUUAACAGAGAGAGAGUAAGGAAUAAAAAACAACAGAGAAGGAAGGAAACCUAGGAAAUCUUGGGAAAUGAAAAAGAGAGUGAUGGAGCAAGAAAAAUAGAGGUGAAUAUGAAUGAAUGGAAGAAUAAGGGGACCCCCAAUUAUUUUGAGGAGAUUAUCUCACUUCCUUAAAUAUAGUUGGGUUCUGUGACUCCCUUGCCAUAGAAAGCAAAACUACGAAUCUGAGCCCCCACCCUAAUUUAUAAAGUUUCCCUGUUAUAAAUUGUUAUUAUCCCUGUAAAAUAUGUUGAAGAUUCUGUUUCUGUCUUACCGUUGUGAUAUAAUAAGGGUUAAUGGAGAUCUUCACAAAAUUGUUGCUCAAAACUGAAUGUUUGUUGCCUCUAACACACAUUAUUUACAACACUGUCUGGAAUAAGGUCCAGGAUGCAAAUGAAUUAAUAUCAAAAGUAUCUCUUGGCCUACCUUGCUCAGUCUGCAAAGCCUAGCAAUCUGUUGGGCCUUGCAGAGGGCGGCCUCCUCUCAACCUUGGAGUCUCUCUGAGAUGUUGCUUUCUACAGAACAGAACUUUCCAGAAGUCUGGUCCUGUGAUAUGAGUCGUCUUUUCAACAUUUAGUUCUCCAGGUCAGGAGCAAAGCUCCAGGAAUCUGUUAUAAUUGAGAAAAGCAAACCAGAGGGUUGGAGAAGAAAGGUCAAGGAACCAGCACAAAGAGCUGAAAGGAAAGUUGGGGGCCUGUUGAAAAGGCAAGAACUAAAUGUGCUUCGGAGGCCUAAGUUCUACCGAAGAGCAGAAGCAGGAAGGAGUCACUUCAAAGCCUGAGAAGAACUCAGCUAUGACUGCUGGAGACUGCUUUAGGGCCACAGGUACCUGAACACUAAACUGCACCACUUUGCCUUUGUAAAGAGUUUAUUGCUGGCUAGGACAAGCACAAAGUCUCGGGGUGAAAUUCUAACAUGCACCCCUACCUGUCCGAAUAAAAGUUUGAUCAUUUGAUUUUCUUGUUUGUAUUAGCCCUUAACUCAGAACAUUAUUUUGCACACCACAUAUCUUUCUAGCUCGAUAAAGCCCCAUGGGAACAUUGGGUGAACUGUUGUUCCAAGGACUAGGGACUUGACCCAGUUCUCUGUACAGGCAGCUUGUCGUAUGUUACAACUGAUGGGUCUGGAUGCAAAUGUACAUCCUUCUGAACAUUUUUUUAAAAACACACACAUCUACCCAGUUCAAUGACUUCGUGGACAUCACAAACAAACCCCCACUCCUAAAAUGUUGAACAUGUAAAACAAACAAACCCUGAGGGCAUGCUCACAUAAUUCUGAAAUAGUUUCCAGUACAUGCAGGAAAAGUAUUCUGACAAUCAAAUAUAUAUUUUGCAAAAGUGUCACACUUGUGAGUGGAAACUAGACAGAUGGAAUGGAAAGAUUGAAUAUCUUCUGUGUUCUUGGUGCUACAGCUCUUCACACCUAAGAUUUACCAAGUGUUUAUGCAAAUAAACAACAGUCAGCAGAUAUGUUAAACAUCUUUCAUUUCCUCAUUAUACCUUGUGAUUUGUGCUGCAAGAUUUGCUACACUAGCCAAAUCAGGCUAUAGCUAUGGUCUAUUAGCACAUUAACCUACUGGCAGCAUGGUGUCACAACUUGAUCUAAGGUGUGUAACAACAGCUAUACUACCCCCAAACAAAUAAAUGGU
Podarcis lilfordi (Lilford's wall lizard) is the source of this 7377-nucleotide non-coding RNA. NCBI's taxonomy places the organism in Eukaryota, Metazoa, Chordata, Lepidosauria, Squamata, Lacertidae. The record is from the annotation of a GenBank genome assembly.